RNAcentral lists this ribosomal RNA (638 nucleotides) under uncultured Actinomycetes bacterium. Its description in RNAcentral is "bacterial SSU rRNA". It matches the Rfam family "Bacterial small subunit ribosomal RNA", at positions 232 to 885 of the family's 1533-position model. The record is from RNAcentral. Lineage: Bacteria; Bacillati; Actinomycetota; Actinomycetes.
CGCGGCCUAUCAGCUUGUUGGUGAGGUAAUGGCUCACCAAGGCAUCGACGGGUAGCUGGUCUGAGAGGACGAUCAGCCACACUGGGACUGAGACACGGCCCAGACUCCUACGGGAGGCAGCAGUGGGGAAUAUUGCGCAAUGGGCGAAAGCCUGACGCAGCAACGCCGCGUGUGGGAUGACAGCUUUCGGGUUGUAAACCACUUUCAGUGACGACGAAAAUGACGGUAGUCACAGAAGAAGGUCCGGCCAACUACGUGCCAGCAGCCGCGGUAACACGUAGGGACCAAGCGUUGUCCGGAUUUAUUGGGCGUAAAGAGCUCGUAGGCGGUUCCGUAAGUCGGAUGUGAAAGCUCAGGGCUCAACCCUGAGACGCCAUCUGAUACUGCGGUGACUAGAGUCCGGUAGGGGAGCAUGGAAUUCCUGGUGUAGCGGUGGAAUGCGCAGAUAUCAGGAGGAACACCAAUGGCGAAGGCAGUGCUCUGGGCCGGAACUGACGCUGAGGAGCGAAAGCAUGGGGAGCAAACAGGGUUAGAUACCCUGGUAGUCCAUGCCGUAAACGUUGGGCACUAGGUGUGGGAUCUUCUAACGGAUUCCGUGCCGUAGCUAACGCAUUAAGUGCCCCGCCUGGGGAGUACGG